Molecule: long non-coding RNA, 1268 nt
Filed under: Neogobius melanostomus (round goby)
Lineage: Eukaryota; Metazoa; Chordata; Actinopteri; Gobiiformes; Gobiidae
Description: lncRNA (ENSNMLG00000009814.1)
Source: RNAcentral
UUUACAGACUCCCACCACUUUACAGACUCCGCACUUACAGACUCCACACUUUACAGACUCCACACUUUACAGACUCCACACUUUACAGACUCCACACUUACAGACUCCACACUUUACAGACUCCACACUUACAGACUCCCACUUACAGACUCCACACUUUACAGACUCCACACUUUACAGACUCCGCACUUUACAGACUCCGCACUUUACAGACUCCACACUUUACAGACUCCGCACUUUACAGACUCCGCACUUUACAGACUCCACUUUACAGACUCCACUUUACAGACUCCCACUUUACAGACUCCGCACUUUACAGACUCCCACUUUACAGACUCCACACUUUACAGACUCCGCACUUUACAGACUCCCACUUUACAGACUCCGCACUUUACAGACUCCACACUUUACAGACUCCACUUUACAGACUCCGCACUUUACAGACUCCGCACUUUACAGACUCCGCACUUUACAGACUCCGCACUUUACAGACUCGCACUUUACAGACUCACACUUUACAGACUCCGCACUUUACAGACUCCGCACUUUACAGACUCACACUUUACAGACUCGCACUUUACAGACUCGCACUUUACAGACUCCACUUUACAGACUCGCACUUUACAGACUCCGCACUUUACAGACUCCGCACUUUACAGACUCCGCACUUUACAGACUCCGCACUUUACAGACUCCGCACUUUACAGACUCCGCACUUUACAGACUCCGCACUUUACAGACUCCGCACUUUACAGACUCCGCACUUUACAGACUCCGCACUUUACAGACUCGCACUUUACAGACUCGCACUUUACAGACUCGCACUUUACAGACUCGCACUUUACAGACUCGACUUUACAGACCACUUACAGACUCUACACUUUACAGACUCUACACUUUACAGACUCACACUUUACAGACUCACACUUUACAGACUCACACUUUACAGACUCACACUUUACAGACUCGCACUUUACAGACUCGCACUUUACAGACUCGCACUUUACAGACUCGCACUUUACAGACUCGCACUUUACAGACUCCGCACUUUACAGACUCCGCACUUUACAGACUCGCACUUUACAGACUCGCACUUUACAGACUCCACUUUACAGACUCCGCACUUUACAGACUCGCACUUUACAGACUCGCACUUUACAGACUCGCACUUUACAGACUCGCACUUUACAGACUCGCACUUUACAGACUCUACACUUUACAGACUCACACUUUACAGACUCUGCACUUUACAGACUCGCACUUUACAG